UGCUUACUGAUGAUUGGGAAAGGCUUUGUGAAAUGAAAGUCCAUUAUUUCCAAAAUUUUAAUUGAUAAUGUGUUUGGUAACUCAGAAUUUAUUGUAGGAGAAUUAAGUUACUUUUUACUGGUGAUUGAUUUGAUAACUACAUCAGGGAGGCUUACACAUGGGUUAGGAAUGUUUAUUGUAGAAAAAGGUAAAGGGUAAAUCCUUCUAACACAAACACCAUUACAC
Molecule: long non-coding RNA, 225 nt
Filed under: Homo sapiens (human)
Lineage: Eukaryota; Metazoa; Chordata; Mammalia; Primates; Hominidae
Description: non-protein coding lnc-EXTL3-1:3
Source: RNAcentral